AAGACUAUACUUUCAGGGAUCAUUUCUAUAGUUUGUAACUAGAGAAGUGUGGUUGAAAGUGUCUGGUCUCGCUAACCACGAGGAGGAGUUAAAGUGUUCUCUUCUGAGCGCGAAGCGAGUAGACAGUGUUGCUUUAAUGCAGCUGCUGUCUGCUAUUGAUGACCGUUCCUUCUUUCCAUUUGGGAAGCUGGGAGGGAGAGAACACAGGCUGAGUGGUU
Small nucleolar RNA from Chelonoidis abingdonii (Abingdon island giant tortoise), 218 nucleotides. Lineage: Eukaryota; Metazoa; Chordata; Testudines; Testudinidae. The record is from Ensembl.